UGUUUGUUUAUUUGUUAAUCACUUUGAUAUUGCUCUAUCUGUACUUGUCGAAAUAGAAUUUUUGCUUGCGUUAUGUGUUCAGAAGAUGCCGAAUGAAUUGUGCUACUAUUGUAUAUUUAGCUGUUGUUGAGUGUAUGUCGGAAUUUUGAGUCUCUGUUCUUCAAGGCAUGUCCAAAAACCUGAUUAUAUCUUGUUUUUUUUAUAAAUACAAUGUCUCAUAUUUGUCCCCUGGGGUCAUUUGUUGCUCACUGUUCUAGCUUCAAAAAAUAAAAUAAAAUGUGUGACUAUGAACCUUAUUGUCUUCUUUUACUUCUAGGCAUAAGUUGGUUUGUUUUAAUAUUGCUUAAUGGUCGAAAAUCUGGAAAUUGCAGUCUUUAACAUAGUUAUUCUUUUUUUUUCAUUUUUUUUUCUCAUCUUUGUAUUUGUAUUUGUUUUGGGGUAGAAAGCAUCUUCGUGAUCUGUGAUUCUCUAUAGUUUCAUGUAAGUUUAACUUCCAACUUUAGUUCGGGUUAACAAUACGUUUUGUUAUUUCUCGAUUUCAUUUAGGUGUAAGUGCCUUAAAAUCAGUCAAUAUAGUAUGUUCGUGUCACAUUGUGCGAUUGUGUUAUUGGUAGUUCAUUAAAUUUCCCUUGUAAUAUGUCUUUAUGUUCAUUGUUAUAGCUUUGGUGGUCUUUGUAUAUUUGAAACUAAUAUGCAUGAGUUUUUGAAAUUAUCUCUUGG
Molecule: long non-coding RNA, 720 nt
Filed under: Solanum tuberosum (potato)
Lineage: Eukaryota; Viridiplantae; Streptophyta; Magnoliopsida; Solanales; Solanaceae
Description: long non-coding RNA (STUB_LNC001828)
Source: RNAcentral